CCUACGGGUGGCUGCAGUGAGGAAUAUUGGUCAAUGGGCGCGCGCCUGAACCAGCCAAGUCGCGUGAGGGAGGACUGCCCUAUGGGUUGUAAACCUCUUUUGUCGGGGAGCAACGUGCGUUAUGUGUAGCGCUAUUGAUAGUACCUGUAGAAAAAGCAUCGGCUAACCCCGUGCCAGCAGCCGCGGUAAUACGGAGGAUGCGAGCGUUAUCCGGAUUUAUUGGGUUUAAGGGGUGCGUAGGCGGAUUGUCAAGUCAGUGGGAAAAUUGGGGGGCUAAACCCCUACCCGCCGUUGAAACUGGCGUUCUUGAGUGGAGGAGAAGUAGGCGGAAUGCGUGGUGUAGCGGUGAAAUGCAUAGAUAUCACGCAGAACCCCGAUUGCGAAGGCAGCAUGCCGGAUUCCAACUGACGCUGAAGCACGAAAGCGUGGGUAUCGAACAGGAUUAGAUACCCUAGUAGUC
This 460-nucleotide ribosomal RNA is filed under the name uncultured bacterium. Its description in RNAcentral is "partial 16S ribosomal RNA". It matches the Rfam family "Bacterial small subunit ribosomal RNA", at positions 338 to 795 of the family's 1533-position model. The record is from RNAcentral.